UUCUCCUGACAAUGGGCAAAGAGUCACCUUGGUGGUGGUGGUGUUCUUAUAUCAGUCAGGGGCAGAGCAGAUGGCUGUCUUUUGUUUAUCCUAGCUUGGUUCCUGGCUUGGUGGCCAAAGCUGUUUUAUACAUAGGACUCAUAA
This is a small nucleolar RNA of Rattus norvegicus (Norway rat), 144 nucleotides long. Ensembl annotates it as small nucleolar RNA SNORA48. Lineage: Eukaryota; Metazoa; Chordata; Mammalia; Rodentia; Muridae. The record is from Ensembl.